Molecule: long non-coding RNA, 1064 nt
Organism: Balaenoptera musculus (blue whale)
Lineage: Eukaryota; Metazoa; Chordata; Mammalia; Artiodactyla; Balaenopteridae
Exons: 3
Source: RefSeq, a predicted model, not a curated record
AAAAAAAAAUUCAAGGUCGCCAAGUCUCCCCUGCUUCUGUUUUCUUGGACAGGAAAGGCUUCCGAAAUAGGGAAAUUCGAAUUUUCAUUUUAAAUUCUGACACCAAGAAGUGGUGAAUCCGCCAACCGGGAAUGCGCGUCGGGCCUCGAUGCGGCAGCCUGACUGGAAGCGGGCGCGGCGUGCGGCGUCGCAAGAAUUGCUGGUCCUGAAGCGCCCUGCGGGCGUUGACCCGGUUUUCCCCUGGCUCCCCUUAUAAUAAUAGGAAGAGCCCCGCGCCACCAAUGCGGAGCCAACCCACACUGAGGCCGCCUAGGAGAUUUUUGGCGUCGCAAUGGCCUGCAGGGUCAGCGUUAGCGUCCCUCCCUCCUUUCUUCUACCUGUACCUUCUCCGAUGCUAGCUAAAGGCAAUCAUUACUCUAUAGGAAAGUUAACAGGGGACUGAAGAGAACAACCACAAAGUGCAAUGUGUGAUCUUGAAUUGGAUCCUGGAGGAGGGGGUCAAGAUUGCUAUAAAGACUAUUCUGGGGGCAAUUGAUGAAGUUCAAGUAUAAACAAUAUGUUAGGAUGGAGAGUGCGGCUGAAAAUUCCAAGCCUCUAAUCGCGGCUUGGUCUUUCUCGUGACGAGCCUGCCUCUAGGAGCCAUCCAGGAGCCCACCCAGAGUCACCUCAAUAGAACAAAAGAUGUGCCUAGUGCGCUGUCUUAUCACUUAGGAAUUUACAAAGGUUUCAGUAGCUCUGUAUCAGGAACUGGGGGCAGAGACCAAUGUAUGUUUUCUGUUAUUUCACAGCUAUAUCAGAGAAUGUCCUUGUUUAAAGGACAUAGAUACUGAACUAUUUAGACAUAAAGGAGCAUGAUGUCUGUUGAUUCAUUAAAAAUUUAUGUAUAGAUAAAAAAUAGUGAGAUAAGCAAAUGUAGCAAAUCAUUAACAAUUGCUGAAGCUGUACUAUUCUUGAAGCUCUUUAAAGUUUAAAAUUAUUUUAAAAUACAAAGUUUUAAAAAAAGAAGCAUUUAUUGGUUGGUGCCAGGCACUGCUCUGGACACAGGACAGUACAUUUUCGGCAAG